UCUAAAUCUGGAAGUUGCAAAACUAUUUAAGUUUGGAAGCAAAAUUACCCAGUCACCAACCACAAACAGGCUCAGUAAGAGAGGAUUCUGAAGGUUUCUCUUCAUCCUCAAAGCAUAAAGAUCAAGACAUGCAAGUCCCAAGCUCC
Molecule: long non-coding RNA, 146 nt
Organism: Telopea speciosissima
Lineage: Eukaryota; Viridiplantae; Streptophyta; Magnoliopsida; Proteales; Proteaceae
Exons: 3
Source: RefSeq, a predicted model, not a curated record